UACGUAGGUGGCAAGCGUUGUCCGGAUUUAUUGGGUUUAAAGGGUGCGUAGGUGGGUCUGUAAGUCAGUGGUGAAAUCUCCGUGCUUAACAUGGAAACUGCCAUUGAUACUAUAGGUCUUGAAUUUUCUGGAGGUCAGCGGAAUAUGUCAUGUAGCGGUGAAAUGCUUAGAUAUGACAUAGAACACCAAUUGCGAAGGCCGCUGGCUUCAGGGAUAUUUGCACUGAGGCCCGAAAGCGUGGGGAUCAAACAGG
This 253-nucleotide ribosomal RNA is filed under the name uncultured bacterium. Its description in RNAcentral is "partial 16S ribosomal RNA". It matches the Rfam family "Bacterial small subunit ribosomal RNA", at positions 524 to 776 of the family's 1533-position model. The record is from RNAcentral.